AGAGUUUGAUCCUGGCUCAGGAUGAACGCUGGCGGUAUGCCUAACACAUGCAAGUCGUACGAGAGUUUUUAACUCAAGUGGCGGACGGGUGAGUAACACGUGAGAAUUUGCCUUUAGGAGGGGGAUAACAGAGUGAAAACGCUGCUAAUACCCCAUAUGCUUUCGAGUGAAAUGGAUUUAUUCGCCUAAAGAGAAGCUCGCGGCUGAUUAGCUUGUUGGUAAGGUAAUGGCUUACCAAGGCGACGAUCAGUAUCUGGUUUGAGAGGACGAUCAGACACACUGGAACUGAGACACGGUCCAGACUCCUACGGGAGGCAGCAGUGGGGAAUUUUCCGCAAUGGGCGAAAGCCUGACGGAGCAAUACCGCGUGAGGGAAGACGGCCUAUGGGUUGUAAACCUCUUUUCUCAGGGAGGAAAUCAAUGACGUUACCUGAGGAAUAAGCAUCGGCUAACUCCGUGCCAGCAGCCGCGGUAAGACGGAGGAUGCAAGUGUUAUCCGGAAUCACUGGGCGUAAAGCGUCUGUAGGUGGCUUAACAAGUCAACUGUUAAAUCUUGAAGCUCAACUUCGAAAUCGCAGUCGAAACUGUUAGGCUAGAGUAUAGUAGGGGUAAAGGGAAUUUCCAGUGGAGCGGUGAAAUGCGUAGAGAUUGGAAAGAACACCGAUGGCGAAGGCACUUUACUGGGCUAUUACUGACACUCAGAGACGAAAGCUAGGGUAGCAAAUGGGAUUAGAUACCCCAGUAGUCCUAGCCGUAAACAAUGGAUACUAGAUGUUGGGCGGAUCGACCUGUUCAGUAUUAAAGCUAACGCGUUAAGUAUCCCGCCUGGGAAGUAUGCGCGCAAGCGUGAAACUCAAAGGAAUUGACGGGGGCCCGCACAAGCGGU
Molecule: ribosomal RNA, 886 nt
Filed under: uncultured bacterium
Lineage: Bacteria
Description: bacterial SSU rRNA
Rfam family: Bacterial small subunit ribosomal RNA
Source: RNAcentral